RNAcentral lists this unclassified non-coding RNA (407 nucleotides) under Hevea brasiliensis (rubber tree). The record is from RNAcentral. Lineage: Eukaryota; Viridiplantae; Streptophyta; Magnoliopsida; Malpighiales; Euphorbiaceae.
AGAAGGAGCUUUUAUAUCGUACCAAUCCUUCUUUGCAAAUGGAUCCGCUGCCUUCUUCUUGCCUCCUUUCUUUCCCUUCGAAAUCCUCUUGUUCUUCCCGACGGCCAUGGUUGGUGGAGGUGAGGAGCCAAGGACUCAGGUUUAGCUGUAAAAGUGGAACGACAUCCUUCCGAGAAUCAAAACCCUACUUUCGGUAGCGUGUUAAAUAGGUUAUUUGGUCCUUUUGGAUGGAGUUCGAGGGUAAGUUUGCCAUUGAGUUCUUGCAGGAAUAAACUGAACUACGUCGUUUCACUGAUCGCCAUCGGGCGAUUUAUUUAUUCGGUUUCCAUUUUCGAAGGUCCAAUCAGCCUCUUCCCAAGUCCAAACUUCGCACCCAGCCCUUGAGCAGGUCCAGAGAUGAAUCUCAU